RNAcentral lists this unclassified non-coding RNA (59 nucleotides) under Mesorhizobium delmotii. RNAcentral's name for it is "ctRNA_p42d". The stretch from base 12 to 55 matches the Rfam family "ctRNA". Rfam says of the family: This family represents a group of ctRNAs (or counter-transcribed RNAs) from p42d and related plasmids. ctRNAs are small, highly structured, antisense sequences which are involved in negative regulation. Members of this family are known to bind to the mRNA of repC causing translational repression. This model contains the predicted stem-loop structure followed by a U-rich tract which is proposed to act as a Rho-independent transcriptional terminator. Lineage: Bacteria; Pseudomonadati; Pseudomonadota; Alphaproteobacteria; Hyphomicrobiales; Phyllobacteriaceae. The record is from RNAcentral.
GCUACAGAUCGAGAAGGGCUUCCACGGUUCGCCGUCGGGGGCCUUUUUCUUUUGCGGUU